This 408-nucleotide ribosomal RNA is filed under the name uncultured bacterium. RNAcentral's name for it is "partial 16S ribosomal RNA". It matches the Rfam family "Bacterial small subunit ribosomal RNA", at positions 28 to 526 of the family's 1533-position model. The record is from RNAcentral.
GACGAACGCUGGCGGCGUGCUUAACACAUGCAAGUCGAACGAAGUGGCGAACGGGUGAGUAAUACGUGGGUAACCUGCCCUCCUUUUUGGGAUAAGCCUUGGAAACGGGGUCUAAUACCGAAUAAAGGGGGAUGGGCUGGCGGCCUGUCAGCUUGUUGGUGGGGUGAUGGGCUACCAAGGCGGUGACGGGUAGCCGGCCUGAGAGGGUGAACUGGGACAGAGGGACGGCGAUGCGGCCCAGGCGCGGACGGGGGGCGGCAGCUGGGGAUAUGGCAGAAUGGGCGAAAGCGUGAUGCAGCGACGCUGCGUAGGGGAUGAAGGCUGUCGGGUUGUAAACCUCUUUAGGUAUCGAACGGGUAGGUGGAGAAGAAGCGCCGGCUAACUACGUGCCAGCAGCCGCGGUAAUAC